AAGAUACUAGUAAAGUAGCCAUUACACUGCCUUGUCAAGGCAGAAUCGCGAGUUAGACCCUCGCGUAUCUUG
RNAcentral lists this transfer RNA (72 nucleotides) under Myripristis berndti (blotcheye soldierfish). RNAcentral's name for it is "tRNA-Asp". It matches the Rfam family "tRNA". From Rfam's summary of the family: Transfer RNA (tRNA) molecules are approximately 80 nucleotides in length. Their secondary structure includes four short double-helical elements and three loops (D, anti-codon, and T loops). RNAcentral also lists the same sequence under 6 other names. The record is from RNAcentral. Lineage: Eukaryota; Metazoa; Chordata; Actinopteri; Holocentriformes; Holocentridae.